Molecule: ribosomal RNA, 253 nt
Filed under: uncultured bacterium
Lineage: Bacteria
Description: partial 16S ribosomal RNA
Rfam family: Bacterial small subunit ribosomal RNA
Source: RNAcentral
UACGGAGGGUGCAAGCGUUGUUCGGAAUUAUUGGGCGUAAGGGGCGUGUAGGUGGCUGUCCAAGUCUGGUGUGAAAGCCCACGGCUCAACCGUGGAACUGCAUUGGAAACUGGAUAGCUCGAGUAUUGGAGGGGGUCGCGGAAUUCCCGGUGUAGAGGUGAAAUUCGUAGAUAUCGGGAGGAACACCAGUGGCGAAGGCGGCGACCUGGCCAUUUACUGACACUGAGACGCGAAGGCGUGGGGAGCGAACAGG